RNAcentral lists this ribosomal RNA (447 nucleotides) under uncultured bacterium. RNAcentral's name for it is "partial 16S ribosomal RNA". It matches the Rfam family "Bacterial small subunit ribosomal RNA", at positions 29 to 523 of the family's 1533-position model. The record is from RNAcentral.
AACGAACGCUGGCGGCAUGCCUAACACAUGCAAGUCGAACGCCCCGCAAGGGGAGUGGCAGACGGGUGAGUAACGCGUGGGAAUCUACCCAUCCCUACGGAACAACUCCGGGAAACUGGAGCUAAUACCGUAUACGCCCUACGGGGGAAAGAUUUAUCGGGGAUGGAUGAGCCCGCGUUGGAUUAGCUAGUUGGUGGGGUAAAGGCCUACCAAGGCGACGAUCCAUAGCUGGUCUGAGAGGAUGAUCAGCCACAUUGGGACUGAGACACGGCCCAAACUCCUACGGGAGGCAGCAGUGGGGAAUAUUGGACAAUGGGCGCAAGCCUGAUCCAGCCAUGCCGCGUGAGUGAUGAAGGUCUUAGGAUUGUAAAGCUCUUUCACCGAUGAAGAUAAUGACGGUAGUCGGAGAAGAAGCCCCGGCUAACUUCGUGCCAGCAGCCGCCGUAA